UACGAAGGGAGCUAGCGUGGUUCGGAAUCACUGGGCGUAAAGCGCACGUAGGCGGACGUGUCAGUCAGGGGUGAAAUCCCGGAGCUCAACUUCGGAACUGCCUUUGAUACAGCACGUCUUGAGUCCGGAAGAGGUGGGUGGAAUUCCUAGUGUAGAGGUGAAAUUCGUAGAUAUUAGGAAGAACACCAGUGGCGAAGGCGGCCUACUGGUCCGGCACUGACGCUGAGGUGCGAAAGCGUGGGGAGCAAACAGG
This 253-nucleotide ribosomal RNA is filed under the name uncultured bacterium. RNAcentral describes it as "partial 16S ribosomal RNA". It matches the Rfam family "Bacterial small subunit ribosomal RNA", at positions 524 to 776 of the family's 1533-position model. The record is from RNAcentral.